Long non-coding RNA from Synchiropus splendidus (mandarinfish), 617 nucleotides. RefSeq lists it as uncharacterized. The record is from RefSeq and is a predicted model, not a curated record. The transcript is spliced from 3 exons. Lineage: Eukaryota; Metazoa; Chordata; Actinopteri; Syngnathiformes; Callionymidae.
GACUUCUGCAACUAAUUGGGCAACAAAAAGAGUUGGGGCUUCAACGGGACUUGCUCGUUUGACAGAGUCCCCAGCAGAAAGCGUUUCAGACAGAACAACCGCAGUCAUAACAACAGUGGAUCCUUCAAUAUCCAUUGCACAGUCUCAAGCAACAUUAGAGGAUUUUGUGACGUCUGAUGCACUGACAACUGUCUUGCCAACAACUUAUGCUCAAACUCCACAUGCUGUUUCCAUUCUGAAGACAAAUACAGCAGAUCCAUUUACAUUUAUUUCCCCAUCAACAGCUGAACUGUCACCUACUGUUCCCCAUAUAAAAUAUAAUUCGACAACAACUUACUCCUCAACUUCAGUUUCAUUCAUAACUGGAAUUUCCUUAAAAACAACAGUUGAAAUGAGAGCAACAAGCCAAGCUCUGACAAAAAGGACUGCAAUCAUUUUGCAUGUAAUUAUAUGUGAAAAAUUUAUAAACAAACUGAACGACCCACAGAGCAGAGAAUUUAAAGAACUCGUGAAGAAAUUUGUGACCUGGUGUGAAAAAGCACCAUAUGGAAUGAACAUUUCUCAUUGCAAUGUGGAAAAAUUCAGAAAAUUUGGAAGUACAUCACCUAAAGAUAAGA